AAUAACAAUGUGUCAAGCAUUAAAAAAAUCAGGAUCAAUAAGUACAAAUGUGCUAGACAUUAAUGUCAUAGUUUGUGCCUUCAAAGUAUCCUGAUGGUCAUGGCAAGGUCACGUCUUUAGGACAUACCGUGUUAUUGUGCUGUUACAGUUUCAGCAGUAAUCAAAUAUCAACAUACACUCGGAUAUUAUAAAGUUUAUCCAAAAAGUUUAUCCGAAACAUGUACAUGUUCAAGUUCAAACAGUUCUUCUGCUUGCCUUCAGGGCAUGCAGAAUUAAAGCAUUUCAUUUCAGAGGUCCGCAUCUGCACUGAGCAUUUCCGAUAUAACCACUGCUGGACGACACGGUACAUGGAUUUAAACUGUAACAUUAUCAUAAGGAAUGUGGUCCCUUAAACACCGCGGACUGAACAAGUUUGUCUUUUAUGAAUGAAUGAAUCUUCUGCUGCCCCGACCUGUAGUUCCGAACCAAACACAACUCUUGAGAUGAUCCUGCUCAUAAAAUAUUCCCAGAUUACCAGACCUCAGUUUUCAUGGCCAACAGAACAUUAACAUGCUUAUUGCUCUCGCCGAUUAUCCUCACUAUGUACGGUACAUUAGCGAACUGUACGAUUGGCCAACCCCCUGCCUGUGCAAUCAACAGAGAGCGUGAAUGAAUGAUCAGCCAUUAGCAGGUCGGGUGUGAACUGUGAAAAUGGGCUCUCACACCAAUGACUGCAGGAGGCCUUGAUUUGCUUUAGCCUAGCUUAGCAACCUGCUAGCAAGGACCGAGCGGUUGUUAACACUGUGGCAGUGCGUGAGCUAGCGUUAGCCUGCCCAAUGUAAUGCAGUGGAAUACGGACUAGUGUAGCGUGUUGAAGCCCAGUCUAGUGGAGUGCUGUGUGCAAGAUCAUAGUAAGACUCCUUGCUAGCAUAUGCUUGUGUUUAAUGCAGCGACCUGCUUCUGCAUGGAGGUAAAUGAAGCUUUUAAGCAGGGCGGAGGGAAGGGGGACCGCUGAAAAGAUUAAUUGACUUUCUACAGAGCUUCACUUAUCCUCCUCUGGCACCUUUGACUUGCUAUGGUUAUAGCUGCUACCCCAGCAGGAUCCCUUCUUGUCAGCCACUAAUGCUGUGACUGACAUCCAUCAACUAUGAGCCACCACAAGAUGGGUAAACAUGAUAGAGGGCAAGAACUGGUUGUGUCCCGGCCAUUUGAAUGACUCCUCAACUGAAAUGAGGGUAACCUGGAUGGCGACGUCAACACAGACCUCAAUUUAGACAAAAUUAAGGAGGACAAGGAUGACACCACCUUCCAGCAGUUGACCUGGCGUGUAUUUACAUUUCUCAGGAGGUGCACAUCAGAAGAAAGGGUUCCGGUUAUGUCGGAUUAUGGCUCUAAAGGGACAACUUCAAGUAAGCAGUGGAAAGAGAGCAAAAGGAUGGACUAUGAUUGGUUGCCAUCUAGUGGCUUUAACUCUGGCUUGCUGCUGCUGCUGCUGCACCAUGAAGGUUUAAAAUGUUGGGUUUAGUAGGUUUCACUCCUAAAAAAGGCAGGUAAUAAGAGAUUUCCUCUACCCCUCACAGGCAAGUUGGUGUCAAACAUUUUUCUCAGUAUUUGUAGAUAUUAGGAAAUGGUUAUUAAUGACUGGAAAAUAAUUUCUUUUGGUGUGACCCUUCUUAUUAAAUAUAAAACUACACUGACUUCACAGCAAUUAAAUGGAACAGGACCUUUUGUUUAUGUUAUGAAAAUAUAGAUUUUUACAAGCCAAAUCCUUAUUAGGCAAUGGCUGAUUGAUUGCAUGCAGGUUAAUGUCAUCCAUCACGUUACUGGGAGCGCUUCUGUCACAAGUCAGAAUAACAAAUCAAACCAGCUCUUCAUACACUUCAAUGUCAUUUUCCGUUCUUUUCCUUUAUUUGUAAAACUUUGGCAUUCUGGCCAAUAUCUUCAACAAUUGGCUGGGUAUAGACAGUAUGUACACAGCAAUGGAUGCACAACACAAUGUAAUAUGUACAGUCCCAAUAUAUUUGCUAAACAAUAUAUCGGUCUUCCUGGUUGCUGACAGUUGUACAACCAAGCCUGCUGAUACAACAUACUGUUGGUUUUGCACAACAGUACGUACAGUCUAAAUUAAUAAACAAUAUAUACAACAUUACUUUUACGGUUGUACAACACACAUACUCGUACUGCAUACUUAUAGUUUCAUCAGUUCGCCAGCCACACCUUUUGCCGUUGUGCAGUGCAACAAAACCCACAGUUUUUGAAUUGGCAAACAAAACUGUGUCCAGAAUGUAUUGUCUCUACUAGAGAUGGCACGAUACCACUUUUUUAUGUCCGAUACCGAUACCGAUAUCAUAA
Long non-coding RNA from Haplochromis burtoni (Burton's mouthbrooder), 2331 nucleotides. RefSeq lists it as uncharacterized. The record is from RefSeq and is a predicted model, not a curated record. NCBI's taxonomy places the organism in Eukaryota, Metazoa, Chordata, Actinopteri, Cichliformes, Cichlidae. The transcript is spliced from 4 exons.